CUGCCAGUAGUCAUAUGCUUGUCUCAAAGAUUAAGCCAUGCAUGUCUCAGUACAAGCCAAAUUAAGGUGAAACCGCGAAAGGCUCAUUAAAUCAGUUAUGGUUCCUUAGAUCGUACCCACAAUUACUUGGAUAACUGUGGUAAUUCUAGAGCUAAUACAUGCAAACAGAGCUCCGACCGGAGACGGAAGGAGUGCUUUUAUUAGAUCAAAACCAAUCGGUGGCGAGUUCGCUCGUCAUCGUACAACUUGGUGACUCUGAAUAACUUUACGCUGAUCGCACGGUCUCGCACCGGCGACGCAUCUUUCAAAUGUCUGCCUUAUCAACUGUCGAUGGUAGGUUCUGCGCCUACCAUGGUUGUAACGGGUAACGGGGAAUCAGGGUUCGAUUCCGGAGAGGGAGCCUGAGAAACGGCUACCACAUCCAAGGAAGGCAGCAGGCGCGCAAAUUACCCACUCCCGGCCCGGGGAGGUAGUGACGAAAAAUAACGAUACGGGACUCAUCCGAGGCCCCGUAAUCGGAAUGAGUACACUCUAAACCCUUUAACGAGGAUCAAUUGGAGGGCAAGUCUGGUGCCAGCAGCCGCGGUAAUUCCAGCUCCAAUAGC
Molecule: ribosomal RNA, 605 nt
Filed under: Gymnopholus sp. 3 MVD-2017
Lineage: Eukaryota; Metazoa; Arthropoda; Insecta; Coleoptera; Curculionidae
Description: SSU rRNA
Rfam family: Eukaryotic small subunit ribosomal RNA
Source: RNAcentral